Perca flavescens (yellow perch) is the source of this 583-nucleotide long non-coding RNA. RefSeq lists it as uncharacterized. Lineage: Eukaryota; Metazoa; Chordata; Actinopteri; Perciformes; Percidae. The record is from RefSeq and is a predicted model, not a curated record. The transcript is spliced from 3 exons.
GUGACCUCAGUGUGUUUCCCUUUCGCGCGAAAGAAUAGGUGCGAACAAGUUACCAACAAAACGUACAGCGAAAGACAAAUGCAAAACAUUUCAGGCUGUCAUGCCAACCUGUAUACAUUUUAACAUCAAUGUACUGUAACGUUUUUUCACUCGCUGAAGCGGCUGCAGUUUAGAUCCUGUCGGGUCUCUGCAGCGGGCGGGGCUGCUCAGUUCUCCCCGCGACUGACGUGCGCGCACACAUACAUAAACACACACACACGGUGGAUGCAGGAAAAAAACGGAGAGGAGACAUACAGCAGGGCCUGACAGCUACGGUCGUUAUUUCAUCCAUGAAUCCCCAGUUGUUGGACCGACGCUCACAGAGACAGUGGACCCACACUGCACGACUCCGGCAUAUCAUUCCCAACUAUAUGUGUGAGGACUGACCUAUGCAGGGUGUGUCGCCAACCCGUCCCUCCAUCUUGUUCAGGACCCCACCAGUGGAGGUCGCACAGGCUACGUUGCCCUCAUUAUCAACUGCCACUGCUCCAACUGUGCCCAUCUUCCACCUACACAACAAAACAUACAGGAACAGCAGAAUUAG